Molecule: non-coding RNA, 74 nt
Organism: Cheilinus undulatus (humphead wrasse)
Lineage: Eukaryota; Metazoa; Chordata; Actinopteri; Labriformes; Labridae
Source: the annotation of a RefSeq genome assembly
GGCACCAUGGCUUAGUUGGUCAAAGUUCCUGUUUUGUGAACAAGAGGUCCUGGGUUCAAGUCCUAGUGGUGCCU